This 380-nucleotide ribosomal RNA is filed under the name uncultured eukaryote. RNAcentral's name for it is "partial 18S ribosomal RNA". It matches the Rfam family "Eukaryotic small subunit ribosomal RNA", at positions 592 to 976 of the family's 1831-position model. The record is from RNAcentral.
CAAUAGCGUAUAUUAAAGUUGUUGCAGUUAAAAAGCUCGUAGUUGGAUUUGUGGCGUACGGUGUGUUCCGGGCACUUGUUGUCUGAGUAACCUGCUGUUGUCAUCCUUGGGUGGAACCUGUGUGGCAUUAGGUUGUCGUGCAGGGGAUGCCCAUCAUUUACUGUGAAGAAAUUAGAGUGUUCAAAGCAGGCUUAUGCCGUUGAAUAUAUUAGCAUGGAAUAAUGAGAUAGGACUUUUUUGCUAUUUUGUUGGUUUGCGCAAAGAGGUAAUGAUUAAUAGGGACAGUUGGGGGUAUUCGUAUUCCAUUGUCAGAGGUGAAAUUCUUGGAUUUAUGAAAGAUGAACUUAUGCGAAAGCAUUUACCAAGGAUGUUUUCAUUAA